AUAACCAAAUCGGUCUUAACCCACUGUAAAGCCACUUCAAACCCACGUGGGUUUGUGGUGGUCGAUUCAGUCGUUAACCCACCAAAUUUUAGAACAAUCGGAGCUGUCAGUUCCGAUCAUAUGUAUUGACCUAGCACGCGCUUGGCCCACCUUUUCCAAGCAUGUUGACGAGGAAAAUGUGGAUCAAGAGCGGGCUAGGGUAAAUAUGCUUAACAGGAUUUUAACACAUCGAUUGCUUUAACUCAUUCACUUACAUCACAGCAUAACUUCGUCAACAUUUUAAAUCUAAAAACUGUGCACUGACCAGCGAAAUGGAUGAGUCCAUUUGCAUGUAAACAAACACACACAAAUAUGUUUUACAAUAAACAAACUUAAACAACGUUUCAUUGCUUCCUUUGCACAAUUAAACAUAUUUUGGGAUGGAAAAUGUUUAGCAAAUGAAUUACCCGUGUAUAAAAACUUACUUUCACAACACUGAAGUGGCUGCUUCUGCGGCCAUAUGGUUUAACCCACCAAACUGACAGUGCUUUAGCUUUGUUUCAUGCAACUGGAUUUUUAGUACAGGAAAUUGGUGGCGUUUUCGGUAUCAUGGUUAUUUGGGAUGUGCACUAUCUCUAUUCACUGCUUCAUCAGCACGUUUUGGCGCCAAAAAAACGAGUGCACUUGUACACGUGAAUCUGAUGGGGAAGCAGCGUUGCGCGUGCCGACAUUUUGACAAGUUCUCGGAGAGUGUAUCGUUCGGUCGGGUUACUUGAUAUUGAACGUGUUUGGACGCGUUUAUAGCGUUAUUGGUAGCCGGCAAAACGGCCGUAUGAGUCAACCCAUAAUUGAAACGUUAAAUCUUUUUGAUAUUGUUUUAGUUAUUAUACAGUAUAGCAGCGGCUUACAGGUUUUUUACUUGUUUUCGCAAGCAUAGCACGUUUAAUUUAACAGGAUCGCAGAAACAGAACGCUUUCGCGCUUAAGACAACCUUCGCAGCCCACAAUAUCACAUCUCCAAUGUUGCGAAAUCAUAGAAGUAUUACUGUACAAAUUGAGCUAAAGCUCCUACGCUAGUUGCUACGCUGCACUGCUACUGCGGGGUAUGGUUUGUCGACCAGCAGAAUCAGUUCCUCGAUCGGAACUGGGACUCUAUCGGUUCCAGAUCCGGACUAGUUACGAAUCCGGUUCAUGUUUCGUUUCUAAUCCGAGACAUGUCCAGGUACUGUUCCAGGAACGAAAUAACAUCGGAAGCGAUUUCAGGACUGGUAUGAGUUCAGCAUCAGUUGUAGGAUCGGUAUGGGUUUACGGUCGGUUUCAGAACCAAGAUGAGUUCAUGAUUGGUUCCAGAACCGAUUAGGAUUCAGUAUCCGCUCCAGGUCCGUUAUGGGUGCAUUAUCAGUUCCAGCACCAGUAUGGAUUCAUGAUCGGUUUCAAGAUCAGGAUGAGUUCAUGAUUGGUUCCAGUACUGGUUUGGGUUCAUGACCGGUUCCAGUACCAGUGUAAGUUUUUGAUCGGUUCUUGGACCGGUUUAAGAUCGGUUCCACGACUGGUGUGGAUUUAUGAUCAGUUACAUGGCCGGUAUGAAUUAAUGAUUGGUUCUAGGUUCAUGAUCAGUUACAGGACCGAUAUGGGGUAGUAAAAUCAAGUAAAAAUCUCUGUACAAAUAACAAAUAACGUGUUGACAGUUAUUUGAAAGAAAAUUUUACUUUUUUUUAAGGGACAACACUGUUUCUGGAACUCUGGAACUCGGGUAUUAGUUUUGGAGAUCUUUUUGCUGUUGUGUAACGACAUAUCUACGGUCGGGUUGGGAAUCUGGAGAUGAGAUUUGGAGAAUCUUCCAAAAUUCUGGAGAUGGGAAUUCGACUUAAGUAUUACACCACCUUAACAUCCUGUCUCAUUGUCGAAGAACUGAAUAUGAGGGACGCUAUUCAAAUUGGAAGAAUUCUCACAGUCAUCUGAAGUCGAGAAGGGGAGCUCCCACCCUUCCUAUGUGGCGACAUUUUCUUAGUGAUAGUAGCAAAAUGACAUUUUCUUUUUGUUUUCGAUCGUUUUCCGUAUCGACCAUCUGACAUUCGCGUACGCUUAUCUUGAGUGGUUUUGAAGAAAAAAAAAAGGGGGGAUGGCCAUCGCAAUGGCCCAUACCGACAACUCCUCCGACCACUCGCCUCCCUCCCCAGCCACACACUUCAAAUCCCACCCACCUGGCGUGCUGUUUUUAUUGUGUCCUUUUAUCGUACACGGCCCGCUGCAUUAUCUCCCAAUAUCGUUUGACAGGCCUAGCAUGAUACGCUGGCCUUUUAAAUUAUGACAUAGUACGCCAGAGCUUUCUUCCUGCACCUCAGUAAGUGUGUGUGUGUGUGUUUUUUUUUGUUGCUGCAUUACGCUACUCAGAGCGAGGGCCUGGCCGCUACCCGCUUCUACGUGUACUGGGCGCCGCACACUGUUGUUGUUUGUUGUUUACUCCCCGGGUUGACCGCAGCCAGAGCCCCGGAGGGCUAAUUGUAUUGCUCUCGAUUAAAAACCACCCGACCUGCCUCAGCGCCUGGCGGGUGUGCCCGGAGGCAAGGGUUAACAAGCUGCCAUGUUCAUAGUUCCCAAAAACUGCAAAAAAAGGGGCAGCUGAACCGACAGCCACAAGACGCCAGCCUCAAGUCUCCUCGGGCGCACCUGUUCUGUCCGGUCGCAGAUCGCAGAUCAUGCGCGCACCAACACACCGCUGCAUGCCGGCAAUUCGUACGUCAGCUCGCGUCGGAUGCAGCCUGCCGGCAAACACCGGUCUCGCCCGCUGUCCCCCCCCCCCACCCCCCCCGCAGCGUAUCGUUCGUUGAUGUGCUUGCACGUAAUUGUCGGCAGCGUACAGCGAAACUUUACGCGCGCGCUUUUGCAAUCAACCGACCUACCAGCGGCGUACCGGCAGGUCGAAUCCGAUGACGCUUUGCGAACGGUUCCUUUGGUUUCGCUGCUGACCAGGUGCGACGAACACGAAGUAUCGAACGGUCUGGGGACUUUUCGCAGGCAGUGCACAGCCGAACUCCAACGCAAGGUGGGCAGGUCACCAAAGCAGGAUAACAUUUGACUCAGGUGAGCAACAGACAUUUGGACAUCUUCCUGCCCACGAAACCAGACGGGAGUGCUGCUUCCUAUUGAGGUCGGUACAACGACAGCAAAACAAAAGACAGUGCAAACGCCUUGGGUAAGGGUUGCAACCCCAUCAACCCCAAAGGAGCUCUUGCAGCUUGUGUACGUACGGAUCAUCAAACUUAGAAGCAUACAUAAUUCAUCCCAGCAUGCUAAACUGCAGACGGAACGUAGUUGUUCCACUUAUUUCCUCCCGAACUCCCGACGUAAUCACACCCGCCCGGCCGCCUUAAGGACGAAGGUGGGGCGCGUUUCGGUUGUAGCGUGUACCGGUGGGCGAGGUGAGGCCGGGGACAGCAUGCGACAAGCAAAGAGGGGGCGGGGGGAGGGGGGGGGCACAGCAUCGAGAACCAACCGGUACGCACCGAUACAUAGAGACAGCCGGCGAUUUCACAACACAUGCCCGUGACACUAUAGCAUGUGCGGCAUUAUUCGUGAACUUACGGAAACAUUUUACUUGCUUUUUUUUUUUGGUAAAAAGUGGCAGUUAUCGAGAGGCUGUCUUAGCAGACAAGUGAACUUUUGGCAGUUUGUAGUUUGUACAAAAAAAAAGCCAAGGUUAUGUAAAUUUCUUCCGCAAAUUGUCGUCCGAUAUCGAUUUGAGGUUUGAUUUAUUGUUAUUGCCCUAUUGCGUUUCCGCAGCUAUUGAAAUCAAUACCGUAAUUUACAUAACUACGAAGGGUAUUUCGUAAACUCAGGACUGAAGAGAAUUGUUCAAUUAUCAAAAGAAAAAUUAAGGUCUAGUUUACAAAAGUGUUCUAAACAAUAAAAAAACGAUACCUUCCUUUA
Molecule: long non-coding RNA, 3908 nt
Organism: Anopheles coluzzii
Lineage: Eukaryota; Metazoa; Arthropoda; Insecta; Diptera; Culicidae
Exons: 2
Source: RefSeq, a predicted model, not a curated record